GGUUUUGGCGGGUAGUAGAAGGGUUUGUCCCGGACCUCCUUGAGUAUGUCCUCGCGGGUUCUGUUCAGAGGAGUCCAUUCGGGCUCUGGUUUUGGUUCCCUGGUUGCUUUGUUUGGACCGGGGUCACUUCUGGACCCGGAUCCCUGUUGGCUGGUCCUCUUGGAACCUGAUUGCUGGAUGAAGUUUGUCUGUCUGUCUGGUUUGAAUUUCU
Molecule: long non-coding RNA, 211 nt
Filed under: Daucus carota (carrot)
Lineage: Eukaryota; Viridiplantae; Streptophyta; Magnoliopsida; Apiales; Apiaceae
Description: long non-coding RNA (DCAR_LNC006577)
Source: RNAcentral